This 486-nucleotide ribosomal RNA is filed under the name uncultured bacterium. RNAcentral describes it as "partial 16S ribosomal RNA". It matches the Rfam family "Bacterial small subunit ribosomal RNA", at positions 899 to 1397 of the family's 1533-position model. The record is from RNAcentral.
ACUCAAAUGAAUAGACGGGGACUUGCACAAGCGGUGGAUCAUGCGGCUUAAUUCGAUGACAAACGAAAAACCUCACCACGAUUUGAAACCCAAACGACAGUCUAAGGAAACUUAGAUCUUCGCAAGACGGUUGGGCAGGUGAUGCAUGGUCGUCGUCAGUUCGUGGCUUGAGUUGUUCCCUUCAGUGGGGUAACGAACGCAACCCUCGUUGCCUGUUUUCUAUGUCAGGCGAGACUGCCCCCUCACGGGGGAGGAAGGUGAGGAUGACGCCAGAUCAGCAUGUCCCUCUGAUAUCGUGGGCUGCACGCAUGAUACAAUGCACUCGACAACGAGGCGCGACGGGGUAACCCUGAGCAAAUCUUUAUAAACGAGUGCCCAGUUCGGAUUGAGGUCUGCAACUCGACCUCAUGAAGCCGGAAUCGCUAGUAAUCGCGGGUCAGCUAUACCGCGGUGAAUACGUUCUCAAGUCUUGUACACACCGCCCGU